RNAcentral lists this transfer RNA (77 nucleotides) under Klenkia brasiliensis. RNAcentral describes it as "tRNA_Leu_TAA". It matches the Rfam family "tRNA". From Rfam's summary of the family: Transfer RNA (tRNA) molecules are approximately 80 nucleotides in length. Lineage: Bacteria; Bacillati; Actinomycetota; Actinomycetes; Geodermatophilales; Geodermatophilaceae. The record is from RNAcentral.
GCCCUCGUAGCCCAAUCGGCAGAGGCAGGCCCCUUAAAAGGGUCCCAGUGUGGGUUCGAGACCCACCGAGGGCACCA